This 1034-nucleotide long non-coding RNA is filed under the name Piliocolobus tephrosceles (Ugandan red Colobus). Its description in RNAcentral is "lncRNA (ENSPTEG00000016159.1)". The record is from RNAcentral. Lineage: Eukaryota; Metazoa; Chordata; Mammalia; Primates; Cercopithecidae.
UAUAACAAAGGUAAAUUACAUAGUCGAAAUAUUUUCAUAGUACUAUUUAUUCUCUUCCUAUAUAAAAUGUUUUUUUUUUUUUUUUUUUUUUUGUCAAUAGUAAUAAUUUCGAACUUGUCGUCGGUUCUAAAUUACUCACUCAUUUUUUUUCUAAUUACAUAUUUUUUUUAAUGAUUUUUAAGUAUUUUUUUUUAAUAUUUUUUUGAAGCACUUUUUUUUUUUUUUUUUUUUAGUUUUUUCAUCAUUAUUUUAAGAUUUAGAAAUAUAUUUAUUCUACUGUUUAUUAAUAAAAUUAAUUUAAUUAUAUCACAAUUUAACUUAAAUUAUAACAACAACAAAAAAAAAAAAAAAGUAAUAUAACUAAAAAAAAUACAUUAUUAUGGUAUAAUAUAUAAAAUCUAUUAGAAACGCUUAAAAUUAAUGAAAAAUAUUUACUAAAAUCAUUAUUACAUCGCAAAUUGUAAUACAAGAAUGUUUACCACAAUUUUUAAAAUAAUUAUUGUUUUGUUUUUUACAUGGACUAAUAACAACAAGGAUAUAAAAUAUGGUAGAUUACUGGCUCAACAUAUCUCUCAACCCAAAACGAAUGAUUAUUUUGGUAUAGCACAAUAUGAUUCCCUUAACGAAUUUUGUAAAAAUUGUGAACAAUAUGUGAUUAUUGGUGAUGAAACAGAUGAAGCUGCGUUUGAUAUUGUUGAAUAUAACAAAAACAAAUCAAUAUAUUUAACCGAUAUUAAAAAUGAAUUAAUUAAAAUGUUAGCUGACCAAUCUAAUCCCCGAAUAACGAAUAUACUACAAAAAAUAAAAAUCUACAAGAAAAAGACUUAAUAGAAAUAUAUGAUCUUUUAAAACACGUCAUUUCAAGUGAAGAAUAUUUACUAAUUUUAAAUGAAACUUGUGAAUUAUUAAAAAAGGGAAAGAGCAACAAUAACGAUAAUGCUGAAGUAUACUACAACACGAUGAUACAUUUAAUGAAUACAUAUUUCUUUUUUACUAACAAUAAAAAAAAUUUAAAGAAAACUUAAUACGGUUAG